GGAGGGGUCGCAUAGUCUGGUCGAGUGCGCGCGUCUCGAAAACGCGUAGGGGUUCUGCUCCUCGUGGGUUCAAAUCCCACCCCCUCCGCCA
This 91-nucleotide transfer RNA is filed under the name bacterium. RNAcentral describes it as "tRNA-Ser". It matches the Rfam family "tRNA". Rfam says of the family: Transfer RNA (tRNA) molecules are approximately 80 nucleotides in length. The record is from RNAcentral. RNAcentral also lists the same sequence under 1 other name.